AUGGUCGGCCAAACCAGCAAGAAGAGAGAGAAAACAAAAACCAAAUCCUAGAGAGAGAAAAUCAAAGAAAAAGUGUGAAUUUUCAAGGAAAUUAAGUGAAAAAGGUGAGAUUUUUUCUAUUAAGCUUGAGUUUUCUUAUUCCCAAGCAUUUCUCUUUAUUUUCCAUGAUUAAAUUACAUGUUUUCAUGAUGAAUUCAAUUCUGAAAAAAUGGGUUAGGAGAGAGAAAGUUGUUGGAUUUAUUUGAUUUUAAUUUAUGUUAGUGUUUUUAGUUAGUUUAGCAUAUUUAGAAACAAAACAACAAGAAAAGAAUUUAUUUUCUCCCCCAACCAUUAAUGGCUGAAUUUACCAUGUAGUGAGUGAGGAUGAGUUUGAUUUUAUUCUAGGAGAAUUGGUUAAGGAAUAAUGAAUUAUGAGCCUAGAAAAAUAAUGNNNNNNNNNNNNNNNNNNNNNNNNNNNNNNNNNNNNNNNNNNNNNNNNNNNNNNNNNAUUAUGAAAUCAUGGUUUUUGAUAUGGAAAUUAAUGAAUUAUGGAAAGAAAAUCAAGUAGGAAAAAUUGUGACAAUGAUGCACCAUUUUGGCCGAAUUUUUCCAAGAAGGAAUAUGAAUGUGGCUUUGCUGAUUUUUGGGUUAUUUGGCUGGACAUUGGUGAUUUGAAGCAUUAGAAAAAGAAAUGGGAUCAAUUGGAGCUAAAUUGGAUGUGUAUUUCAAUUUAUCGGGUAAAAGACCGAAAUAGGUUAAUACAGUGUUUAGGCAAAAUUUAGACCUUUUGCAUUCCAUAUCAUGCAUUAGUAGUCUAAAUUUGUUUAAUUUCAAUUUAGUACCAAUGUGGUGAAUUUCUUGAUUUUGUAUUGUGUCAAGGUGGUGAGUCCUCCGAUAAAGGCAAGGGAAUUGCAUCCGAAGACCAGUAGUCUGAGUAUUUCGAAAAUCCCCACUCUAGACAUUGUGAGUAACCUUAUCAUCAUUUUAAUUAUCUAAAGUAUGUUUUAACUCGGUUUUGGUGAAAUUUAUAUGAAAAUGAGUUAAAUGGCUAAGUUUAGGUUUUGCAAACAAAAAUGUGUUUAAAUGAAAAGAUUUUAUAAAUUGUCUUGAAACGAAAUAACGAUUUUGAAAAUAGAGUAAUUAGAGACCACUGGUAUGUUGCAAAUUUAUGAUUGGAAAUUGAUGGCUUAUGUUAUAUUGUUCAUGACUGGUUGGGCUGUAUUUUAUGAAUUGUAUGAAUUAUUUUAUUUUACCCUUGCAAGCUGGGUAGUAUUAUAUUAGCCCUGUCAUGUUGUUAAAAUUUUAUUGUAUGGUGGGUUUAGCUUGCUGCAGUAGGCGAGUUUUGUGGACCAGCCUAUUAGAGGGGUACAAAAUCUAGAUAUAUAUAUAUGUACCUCAGUUGGAGAGGCGCGUAGGGUAUCUCUUGAGGUAUGGUUAGAGUUCACGUCACACCGAACCACCUCAUGACGAUGAACUCUGCUAACGCCAAGGAAUGACUGUAUUUUUCAAACUAAAAAUAUGUUUUACGAGUAUACAAAAUUUUAACAGCCUUGGCGGGCUCAAGUGUAUGCCUCUGAUCAAGGUGUCAUCCAGUAUAUUUGAUGGCAUGAGCCAACUGUUUAUGAAAGUCAUAAGCCCUAAUGAGAAAUUAAAUGAAAUACAACCGUUUGCAUGGGUUGGAAUGAAUUUUCAAAUUGUUAAAUACUUAAAAUAAUGGGAUAUUUUAAUUGUCUCAUUUUACUCGGCUUUAGCUUAUUUAAAUGGUGUUUGUUUACUCACUAGGAUUUUAUAAUCUCACCACCCUCCUUUCCACCCAUUUCAGGAUCAGAGUAGUCUGUAAAUAGCUGGUUCCAUCGGGGAUUUCCAUUGGAUUGCGUUUUCCAAACUGUAAGUUCACAGCUUCUUUAAUUCUAAUUAUUAUGGGCCCACUUGAUUAUUGUAAAUUUAAUAGUUUAUUUUGCUACAAUAUGAUGAAUUUAUUUUGUUUUUACGUUACAAAAAGUAUUUACGCAUAACUCCAAAAUUACUGUUUAUAAGAAAAUAAAAUAUUUUAUUGAAUAUCUUGUUUUAUCUUCUUAUUAUAUUUAAACAAUUAUAAUUUUAUUUUAAAUAAAGGUUUUAGAUGCCUAAACUUAUUUUUAAUUGUAAAUUAUGCGAUUGGUACUUGUUUACUGCAUUUUUAACUGGUUUCAAAAUUUUCAGUGAAAAAUGACCAAAAUGCCCCUGUGAGAUAAUUUUUAUUUUAUCAGUUUUAAGUUGGAAAUAGCUCAAAAUCCUUUAGAACAUAAAAUUUGGCAACGGUUACUCACCGAGGGAAAUGAGAAACUGAUAUUAAGCCUUGCGGGGUUCCGAUUGACAUUUCGGGAGAUGAGUGCCCAUUGGGGCACCGCGACGGUUGUCACGGGCUUGAGGGGAGUUCCGGGUUGUGACAAAUUAAGAUGAGACUUGGAAAGGAACCUUAAAGGAAAAUUUUGGACAACUUUAACCUUGAGAAGUUGAGUUAUUGAUUAAAGGGAUUAGUUAAGAUCAUAUGAGGUAUGUGAUUGUCAUGAUUUAUUGAAAUGCUUCGUGAUAUAAGUUAAGAUGUAUCUAGUAAGCACUCGAUCAUUAAAGUACUGGAGUUUUGUUUAUGGGAAUAUGGUUACUAAUAGUUACUAGAUUUGAAUCAUCCAUGAUGUUAAAUAUAUCUGAAAUAAAUAAAGCUUGUUUUGAUCUUUACAUAUUAUGACAUGCUCGAAUGGAAUUUGUAUGGAAGUAUGUAAAAUAGAAUAGACGUUGGUUGAUGAUUUAGACCCACAGUCAAUGGUGGAAUAAAUGCUUGAAUGUUGGAAGGUUUGAUAAAAGGUCAAGGUAGAGGAAAUGUGGAUGGUUAAGUAAACAUGUAUAAUUGAUGAUUUAAGGAUGAUUUGAUUGAUAUGUGACCAGAAUUAAUAGCAUAUUUGAAUUUUCUUCAUAACAUGAAGAAUGGUAUCAUUUUGAUCCAACAAGAGCAGUACACAUAAUUCUAUAUCUUAUGUUAAGAAUGGCCAACGGAAGUGAUGCAAAAGAAUUUAGAAUUUUGAUUGUUCACCCCACGUCGAUUCGAAUUUGAGGACAAAUUCAUUAUAAGUUGGGGAAAUUGUAGUAUCUCGUACUUUGAGGUGGUGGCUAAUAAUGCUUACCGGCUACUAAUUGAGGUUGAUUAUUGAGUAAAAGGGGUAAUUCAGAAGUAAACCUGCGAAACCUCGACCUCUAUAGACAUGUAACUAGAAGUAGAUACGAUAAAACAGAUUAGGGGUAAUUUCAUCAUUUUCUUUAGUGAGCCCCUAAAAGUAUGCUUUCAAACAUUAUUAAGGCUUAAGUAGGCCUAAGGCACAAAUGAAUGAUGAAAAUAAGAAUAAGAUGACGAAGGAAAUAGAAAUAAUGAUGAUUUCCAAGGUAGGGGUAAAAUGGUCAUUUUGCAUCUCAAGUAUAAAUUUUUAAGUUUUCACGAACUUGAGUACUUCUAGACCAUUAUGGACUUUGUCUCAAUGUCCAAAGAGUAAAAAGUUGAACCGAAGGAAAGAAGAAGACAAAGUCACCUUAUGGAGGGCAUUUUGGUAAAUUACAUGAAAAAUGGAUAAACUUUAGACAUAAAUAUCCAAAGCUCCAGUAAUUUCCAGUAGCUUCCAACCAUUUCUUCUUCUCUUCCUAGCUCAUGUUUCUUUAUCUCCAUGGGAGCCUCCCAUAAAGCUUCCAUAGCUCUUUAAAUUAACUUCAAUUUACAUGCUUUGGUACACUUUUUCAUAAAACCUUUGGUACUCUUUCACUCCCUCACCUUAAAACCCUCAAAAGUCUUUCUUUAGCACUUUUUCUUACUAGUUGGAAGUUUUAGAGAGAGAAAGAGAGACUUGCCAUAGUAGCUUGAAAACUCUUGAAAAUGAGUUCAACUACAAGUCCACAAGGUGAGAGAAGAGUUAGAGUAGAACUUUAGUAAUGAAAUUGUGUUCACUGCUUUAGGCAUUGAACUGUAAGGUAUGGACUUGUAUCCACCUUGUGAACACCUUGAUGAGAUAAAUUCGAGAGAUUUUCACAAUGAGAAAACAUUAAAGCCCAAGGAGCAAAUAGCUAUAUAGUCACGUUAGGGCUCGUGACUGAUAUGUCACAUAAGUAUAAAGAUAAGUUGCAAAAACGAAGAUGUCUAGAAAUGUUGGUUUAAGGCAACGAUUAUCUUGCCAUUAUGCAGACCCGAUGAGGUUUGACAUUUGAAAUAACUUUAAGGAAUCUAAAGUUAAGUAUGUUUGCAUGUGACAUAUGACUAAUAAGUUGGUUAUGACUCGGGAAUUAUAAAGAUUGGUUAAGUCAUGAGGAUGCAUGCAAGAAUAUCGUUAAUUAUUGAAAUGCAUUGUGGUAUAAGUUGAAAUUACUUAGAGAGCACUCGAUCAUGAAAAUAUUGGAGAUUAUUUUCAGGAAUAUAGUUCUAUCGGUUACUGGAUUUGAAUCAUUUGCAAUGUUGAAUAUAUAGGAAAUGGAUAAAACAUUUUAAUCCUUGUGUAUUAUGAAAUGCUUGAAUGGGAUUUGUAUGGAAGUAUGUAAAACAAAAUAGAGAUUGAUUGAUGAUUUAGACCCACAGUCAAUGGUGGGAUAAAUGCUUGAAUGUUGAAAAGUUUGAUAAAAGGUCAAGGUAGAGGAAUCGUGAAUGGUUAUAUAAACAUGCAUGAUUGAUAAUUUAAGGUUGAUUUGAUUGCGGUGCAACUAGAAUUAAUGACAUAUUUGAAUUCUCUUUAUAAAAUGAAGUAUAGUAUUAAUGUGAUUCAAGAAGUGUAGUACACAUAAUUGUAUAUACUAUGGUAUUGUCGAGUUUUCUAUAAAGAUUGGAAGAUGAUAUAAAGUAUAAACCAAGAUCCUAUGUUCAGAACGGCCAACAAAAGUGAUGUGGUAGAAUUUUAAGACUUUCAUUAUUCACCUUACGUUGAUUUGAAUUCGAAGACGAAUUCAUUUUAAGUGGGAGAAACUGUAACGCCCCGUACUUUGAUAUGUUGAUUAAUAGAACAUGUCGGAUAUCAAUUGAGGAUGAAUUAAUGAUAUAAAAAGUGAUUUGGAAGUGAAUCGGGGCAUAAUAAGAUACUUUGAGUGCCAAGGAGACAAGUGAAAAAUUUUAGAAGAAAAUAAUAUUAAAAUAUUAAUAUUUUAUUAAGUGUCGAAAUUUUCAAUGAAAAAGGAAUAUAUGGUCAAUCUAAGUGGGGGAGAAGAAGAACGAGAAAAUUUCAAAAAAAAUUGACGUUAAUAGGGCUCACGUGUCUUUAUUAAAUAAAGCUAGCGCAAGUAAGUAAAUAUUUAAAUAUUACGGUGUACUGCAUUGAAGUAUAAAAUUGAUAUUUUAUUGAUACAAGUAUUAAGGAAGAAAAAUGGAAAGAAAUUAGAAUUAAAAGAUUGUGGGAGGAUACAAUUAAAAAGGAUGAAAACCUUGGAGGGUAAAAUGGUAAUUUUGACAUUAGUUUGGUUGACUCUUCAUCCUUAUCCCAUGGCUGGUUCUUAUCUCCAGCCAAAAGAUAUUUUCAUCUUAUCUUCCAUGCUCCUAAUGCCAUUUUCAUGCUCCCACGCCAUUUCACCUUACUACCAUGCAUUUGAAAAGAAAAAUGGCUUUGUUUUGCAAGGAAAAUCGUACUCUUGGAAAAUAAAUUGAUGAGAUCAAUUGGAAGAAAGGAGAAAGGAAAGAAGAAAGGAGAAAGAAAAAGAGAGAAAGGAAGAAAAAGCUUGGUUUUGGUGAUUCAAGUAAGGAAAGGUAAGGAUUCUUAUUUUUAGCUUGAGUAAUCUUUGAAAAUGAGUUAGUGACUAAGAGAAAUGUCUCGUGCCAACAAAGAUUGGCUUGAUUGGAGAAAAAUUGGUGACAUACAAGCCAAUAAACCCUGUGGGUACAUGAUGGACUCAAGGUGGAAAAGGAAAGCGAUAAGCUUAACACUAUGUUUAAAGCCUACAGUUAGUUGGAUAUUGUGAGGAAUUAUGGUUGUUGAAAAGAUCUAUUUGCAUAAGCUUGUUGAAAAUUGUUAAGUUUGUAUGGCAUGCUGUUUGAAAGAAAUGAAAAAGGAAUAUUGUGGAUGGAGGAUUAAGAAACAAAGUAUUGAAAGUUAGAUAGAUAAUGAUGCAUGUAAACUUGGAAAUAAUUGAGUGAAAGUGAGAAUGAUUGUUGCUGCCAUAUAUGUGGGUUAUGUGUGAAAAUAUAAGACGAAUUUGAAUGAAAAUGGCUGGAAAAGGUUGAUAUGGGUGCUAGAGUCAUAAAUAAGUUACCGGUAAUUAUAAUUUAAAGAAUUACGCAAGCAAAGGAUAAAGGCAACUUUGGUAAAAAUGUGUCAAGAUGUAUAUGAAUAUGCAAUGUUAAGUGAGGAAAAGUGGUGAUUCUAGCAUAGUAUGAGUUAUUAACAUGAUGGUAAUGUUUGAAUAAGGAAGAAAAUGGGAAUGAUAAACACUAAGAUUAUUCGAUUUGGUUUAUUGCCAAGAAGUGUGCAAGUGAAAAAAAAAAAAGACACCGUGGUGAUCAACUAAAGGAGAAAACACACCCGGAUAAGUGGCGAAGUGAUAUCUCGCCAUUGUAAGGUGAGUAGAGGGUGCCUAUUUCAAAAAUUUCCAUAGCUAUAUAAUGUUAUACGUUUUAUAAAUGUUGUCAAAUUUCGUUAAAUGCAAUUGUGGAAAGCAUGAGCCGUUAGCCUCGAUAGGUGAUUUCUAAAUGGAUUUAUAAUGAUUUAUACACUGUUAUUGUAGAAAGCAUGGGCUGGUAAAACUCGUAGUAAAUUGUGGAUGCAAGUUGUUUUGAAAAUUGUUUUGGAUAUAUCUAUAGAUGAGCUAUAUACGUAAAGUGUUUUAGAAACCGGGAAACAAGCCCUUUUAUAUUGUUUUGCAUUCAAAAUUUGUGCCUUGUAUUUUUGUGUGAUAUGCAUAGUUUAAAUGAAAUAGUUAAAUGAUUUAAAAUGCAAGAUUUGAGCAUCGGUUUUAGUCCGAUCUUUGUAUAAGAGAAUACAACAUGCCUUUUUAUGUGAAAAGUAAUUUGAAGGCUUAUUGAACCUUGGUUUCAAAUGGUUUUAAGCGAAAGACUUGGAAACUUCAAUGUGAUUUUUGAAAAUGGUUUGGAC
Molecule: long non-coding RNA, 7064 nt
Filed under: Theobroma cacao (cacao)
Lineage: Eukaryota; Viridiplantae; Streptophyta; Magnoliopsida; Malvales; Malvaceae
Description: long non-coding RNA (TCAC_LNC004973)
Source: RNAcentral